Long non-coding RNA from Austrofundulus limnaeus, 571 nucleotides. RefSeq lists it as uncharacterized. The transcript is spliced from 7 exons. NCBI's taxonomy places the organism in Eukaryota, Metazoa, Chordata, Actinopteri, Cyprinodontiformes, Rivulidae. The record is from RefSeq and is a predicted model, not a curated record.
UCCUCUUGUUGACUUCAGGACGAAGUUGUUGCUAACAACGUGAAGAAGGCUGAGUUUGUGGAAGCUGCAAACAUAARGUGUCUUCACACCAAGAGCUGCUUCCCACAGAUAAAAUACGCUCGCAGCUGCUUGUCRGAGGGGAGAACAAUGACGGCAACAAGUUUCAUCAACUGCACAAACAGCAGGGAACGUCUGCAUAAUCCAGCCACCAAACCCUCAGAUCUUUCACCAGCAAACCACUGGAUCGUUCGGCUUGUUGUUGUCUGUGUCCUGCUACUGAUGUAAUCCUGAACAGAAACCAACUUUGCAGAUUCUUUCGUGAUUAGUUGGAGCGUUGACAAUUUUUGCAGGUGGUUCAGGAGGUGUAAUCGAGUCAGAACGGCCCACCCAACGAGGACCUGUUGAAACAGAGGAGACGAGAGAAACUUUUCUCUGAUCGUCAUACACUCACCGUCCACUUUAUUAGAUACACCUUGCUAGUAUCAGGUUGAAACCCUUUUGCCUUCAGAACUGCCUAAACCUUUCCUGCCAUAGAUUCAACAAGGUACUGGAAACAUUCCUCAGAGAGUCU